CCAUAAAUAAAAUCAACCUACAUAGCCUGACCCAACCCAGGCCCAAUAAGAUUACAGAAAGGGAAGGAACUAAAGAAGUCCAAGACCAGAUGUCCGGACAGUAAAGAAAACUAAGGGGAAAGAAUCAAAAACUCAUCUCCUUCCUCUCAACGAUAACGAGCAAUGUCGAUGAGCUGAGCAGACAUCAAGAGCUUCAAAAUCACAGUCCAUCUCGAGUCCAUAACCUGAAAAUUGCUGAGCUUAAGGUGUUUUCACCUAAGACAUUCCAAGUCUCACGAAUGCCAUGAAAACAAUCUUAAUGAAGACUUCUUCACUCUACAAUGGCAGAUCUGGUCCCUUGUGAGUAUCGAUUCUGGCAUUUAAUCACCAGCUGAACUCAUGCCACUCAAAUACCUGCAUAUACCUAGAAUUCGAAAGGUACAAUGUUUCGCUAUUUUCUCGCCUCUCAGCAGAUUGAGCUUAAAAGCUGAU
This is a long non-coding RNA of Solanum stenotomum, 471 nucleotides long. RefSeq lists it as uncharacterized. Lineage: Eukaryota; Viridiplantae; Streptophyta; Magnoliopsida; Solanales; Solanaceae. The record is from RefSeq and is a predicted model, not a curated record. The transcript is spliced from 3 exons.